GACGAACGCUGGCGGCGUGCCUAAUACAUGCAAGUCGAGCGAAUCGAUGGGAGCUUGCUCCCUGAGAUUAGCGGCGGACGGGUGAGUAACACGUGGGUAACCUGCCUGUAAGACCGGGAUAACUUCGGGAAACCGGAGCUAAUACCGGAUACUUUCUUUUCUCGCAUGAGGGAAGAUGGAAAGAUGGUUCUGCUAUCACUUACAGAUGGACCCGCGGCGCAUUAGCUAGUUGGUGAGGUAACGACUCACCAAGGCGACGAUGCGUAGCCGACCGAGAAGGGUGAUCGGCCACACUGGGACUGAGACACGGCCCAGACUCCUACGGGAGGCAGCAGUAGGGAAUCUUCCGCAAUGGACGAAAGUCUGACGGAGCAACGCCGCGUGAGCGAAGAAGGCCUUCGGGUCGUAAAGCUCUGUUGUUAGGGAAGAACAAGUAUCGGAGUAACUGCCGGUACCUUGACGGUACCUAACCAGAAAGCCACGGCUAACUACGUGCCAGCCGCCGCGGUAA
RNAcentral lists this ribosomal RNA (511 nucleotides) under uncultured bacterium. Its description in RNAcentral is "partial 16S ribosomal RNA". It matches the Rfam family "Bacterial small subunit ribosomal RNA", at positions 28 to 523 of the family's 1533-position model. The record is from RNAcentral.